UCCAUUCUGAAUGCAGUCGAGGAGUGUUAACGAGAUUCAGGUGGACUCGGGAGGUCCAAUCAGAUUUAGGUCUGUGGCCUGAUGACUAAUUGGAUCUGUAGUCUCUUGAUCAGUUACUUCCAAGCCUGUGGUCUCUGCACUGAACGAGCAUUGCUCUGCUCAAUUAACCCACACCAAACUCGACGCCUUACAAAAAUAAUCGAAUUUAAUGGUGUAAUUGUGCAGCAAGGCACCAUUUUACCCCACUGUAAACCUAUGCAGUAGAUUCAAACCUGAACAAAGCACUGAUGACCCUCUACAAAGCAGGAAUGGUUCAGGCGGGGUACAAUACUCUGAACAACACAACCAUAGCCAUUUACUCACUAGCCUGUCUACCUGCAUUCAUUUUAAAGCAAUAACUCGUGGAUGAGCAACACCACUCACACUGAUGGCUCCACUUAUGCAGUGACCAAAACAGCAGCACAUCCCCACAGUCAGAUCACGAAUCGCCGUGACUUCAUCUCCACGUUAUGCAAUUCAAUCACGGUCAGCUACUGUCAAAAUUGAACAAGAAGUCUGUUUAUAGCCAGCUACCUUAAUAAUAAUAACAACCAGGUUUUGGCUCUGUUGCCUCUGCUGGUAGAUGUUGUAACUACACCAUUAUGAAGGGUGACUACAUGGCAUUUGCUGACUAGGUGAUUGCCUAGAAAAGAAUCUUUCCAGAACUGAAGCAAAGAUGACAUUUGAAGAGGUGCAUGCAAGCUGCUUCCGUGGCCCCCGGAGAGAGGGACGUUACGUGGAGGGUGAGGCAUCCCAGAAUAUGAGGAUAAAUUGCAGGUAAUCCUGCAGGACUGGCGCCCUGGUAAUCAACACUCUUCCAACUGGAAACAUUUUACAAUUCUUCAUCUUAAUUUAACUUCUCUUUUUUUCUACUGUUCCUUUACCUGGCAAUUCUUAGCAGCGGGUGCAAUCAUUUGCACUGGCGUUUGAAAGGAGAGGCUGUGGAAAUGCGAAAUGGAGAGCUUUUAAAAGGGGGGGAAGGGGGCGAUAAGCAAAUCAAAUUAAUGACAAUGAGUGUUUGUGGAGAGAAGGAAGGCAGAUAGCUUGUUUGAGCCCAUCGUGCGUGCCAUGUUAAACACUUCACUCGCCGUGGAGGGGCUAAUCCAGUCUCCGACAGCUAGCUGAUUAUACGAAUAAACUACACACGCUCGCCGCGGAGAGAAAGGAGCAUCCCUCGUUAACGUUCAAGCUCACUCCAACAAGGAAGUAAUUAAGAUGCCAGCCCUCCCCCCAACAAACCAAAAAAAAGAAGGAAUGAUUUUAAGUGUUUUCUAAUAGACCGGCUUGAAGGUGUUUAUUUUAUAUUGUCUCAGUGCAGAAGUCAUUAUGCGGCUGAAGAAGGGCUUACAGGGAGCUAAACGCGGUGCGGCGAGGCAAGACGAGUUUGUGGUUGUUGAGUAAAGUCAGAUGGCUCGGAGCUCGCCUGCAACACUCACUCUGUGAUGCACUCCAGAGUUGCAGGAGCAUAUGAACUGUCGCUUGUUGUUUUAAAUAAUAGAUUGCCUACCUUAAUUUCAUGCCUGAUAUUUUUGGCAUGGGUUAGAGUCUUUUGGAUGGGCAGCAUCUGUCAGACCUCGGCGGAGGCCAAGAAAACAUUCCCCACCCAAGCUGUAAGAGAAAAAAAAGCUUGUGUUUAGCUUGAAUAUUGCGACAGUCGGCCACCGGCUCUGCAGGUUACAGGCACUGCAGGAAGCUGGUAAAACAGAACUUUUAAUAGAUUUCAAGAAAUUUCCAAUCCUUUUUGAGCACUUUUCUCAUUGGUUUUAGUUUCGUGUGGAGUGCUCGUGCGAUUGAUGGUUAAGUAGUUUAACAGUGAUUACAGUGGAGUGAUAUUUGAUUAUUAUCUCCUGAAACAGCAACUCCUCCGGCUUUCUGUUCUCUUAACAAUAGUUUAAUUGUUAGUUUGGACACCCACUCAAUAGACAGCCGAAAUGAAGAGCAGUAAUGGAAGAGAAUUAUGGGGGGAAUGGUAUAAAACAGAACCUGCAUGUCUAUUUUUUUAAAUUAGAUAUAUUUUGAUUAGCCACGAGAGCGUCUUUACCAUGACCUGUUCAAUCAAUAACACGUGUUGGAAUUUUUAAAGUACCGGAGCUCUAUUUAUAAUGAGUUUUUCAUUUUAAUCAUUUUUCAGUGUGAAA
Cyprinus carpio (common carp) is the source of this 2177-nucleotide long non-coding RNA. RefSeq lists it as uncharacterized. The transcript is spliced from 6 exons. The record is from RefSeq and is a predicted model, not a curated record. NCBI's taxonomy places the organism in Eukaryota, Metazoa, Chordata, Actinopteri, Cypriniformes, Cyprinidae.